This 495-nucleotide ribosomal RNA is filed under the name uncultured bacterium. RNAcentral describes it as "partial 16S ribosomal RNA". It matches the Rfam family "Bacterial small subunit ribosomal RNA", at positions 28 to 507 of the family's 1533-position model. The record is from RNAcentral.
GACGAACGCUGGCGGCGUGCCUAAUACAUGCAAGUAGAACGCUGAAGGAGGAGCUUGCUUCUCUGGAUGAGUUGCGAACGGGUGAGUAACACGUAGGUAACCUGCCUGGGAGCGGGGGAUAACUAUUGGAAACGAUAGCUAAUACCGCAUAAUAGUAGAUGUUGCAUGACAUUUACUUAAAAGUUGCAAUUGCAUCACUACCAGAUGGGCCUGCGUUGUAUUAGCUAGUUGGUGGGGCAACGGCUCACCCAGGCGACGAGACAUCGUCGACCUGAGAGGGGGGUCGGCCACACUGGGAGUGUGACACGCCACAGACGCCUUCGGGUGGCGGCCAGAGUGAAUCUGCGGGCAUGGGCGAAAGUCUGACCGCGAAAGGCGGCGUGAGUGAAGAAGGUUUUCGGGUCGUGGAGCACGGUUGUCGGGGAAGAACGAGUGUGAGAGUGGAAAGUUCACACAGUGACGGUAUCUGAUCAGAAAGGAACGGCUAACUACGUG